Molecule: ribosomal RNA, 460 nt
Filed under: uncultured bacterium
Lineage: Bacteria
Description: partial 16S ribosomal RNA
Rfam family: Bacterial small subunit ribosomal RNA
Source: RNAcentral
CCUACGGGAGGCAGCAGUGAGGAAUAUUGGUCAAUGGACGAGAGUCUGAACCAGCCAAGUAGCGUGAAGGAUGACUGCCCUAUGGGUUGUAAACUUCUUUUAUAUGGGAAUAAAAUGUUCCACGUGUGGGCUUUUGUAUGUACCAUAUGAAUAAGGAUCGGCUAACUCCGUGCCAGCAGCCGCGGUAAUACGGAGGAUCCGAGCGUUAUCCGGAUUUAUUGGGUUUAAAGGGAGCGAAGGUGGAUUGUUAAGUCAGUUGUGAAAGUUUGCGGCUCAACCGUAAAAUUGCAGUUGAAACUGGCAGUCUUGAGUACAGGAGAGGUGGGCGGAAUUCGUGGUGUAGCGGUGAAAUGCUUAGAUAUCACGAAGAACUCCGAUUGCGAAGGCAGCUCACUGGACUGCAACUGACACUGAGGCUCGAAAGUGUGGGUAUCAAACAGGAUUAGAUACCCGGGUAGUC